This 24-nucleotide non-coding RNA is filed under the name Mus musculus (house mouse). Lineage: Eukaryota; Metazoa; Chordata; Mammalia; Rodentia; Muridae. The record is from RNAcentral.
UGCUUGGAAAGAGUGACUUUGUGG